Molecule: ribosomal RNA, 470 nt
Filed under: uncultured bacterium
Lineage: Bacteria
Description: bacterial SSU rRNA
Rfam family: Bacterial small subunit ribosomal RNA
Source: RNAcentral
CUGGCUCAGAACGAACGCUGGCGGCAGGUCUUAGGCAUGCAAGUCGAACGGAUGACAGAGAGCUUGCUCUCUGAAGUCAGUGGCGCACGAGUGAGUAACGCGUGGGAAACUGCCCUUCACUGGGGAAUAACGUUUGGAAACGAACGCUAAUACCGCAUACGCCCGCAAGGGGAAAGAUUUUUAUCGGUGAUGGAUGUGCCCGCGUUGGAUUAGCUUGUUGGUGGGGUAAUGGCCUACCAAGGCGAUGAUCCAUAGCUGGUCUGAGAGGACGAUCAGCCACGCUGGAACUGAGACACGGUCCAGACUCCUACGGGAGGCAGCAGCUAAGAAUAUUGGGCAAUGGGGGAAACCCCGACCCAGCCCAUGCCGCGUGAAUGAAGAAGGCCUUCGGGUUGUAAAGUUCUUUUAGUCAUGAAGAUGAUGACAGUAGUGACAGAAAAAGCACCGGCUAACUUCGUGCCAGCCGCCGC